This 18-nucleotide unclassified non-coding RNA is filed under the name Chlamydomonas reinhardtii. RNAcentral describes it as "small RNA Cre_3127". Lineage: Eukaryota; Viridiplantae; Chlorophyta; Chlorophyceae; Chlamydomonadales; Chlamydomonadaceae. The record is from RNAcentral.
UGCGGGCAGUCAUGUGAU